This 75-nucleotide transfer RNA is filed under the name Sulfolobus acidocaldarius DSM 639. RNAcentral's name for it is "tRNA-Pro". It matches the Rfam family "tRNA". Rfam says of the family: Transfer RNA (tRNA) molecules are approximately 80 nucleotides in length. Their secondary structure includes four short double-helical elements and three loops (D, anti-codon, and T loops). Further hydrogen bonds mediate the characteristic L-shaped molecular structure. tRNAs have two regions of fundamental functional importance: the anti-codon, which is responsible for specific mRNA codon recognition, and the 3' end, to which the tRNAs corresponding amino acid is attached (by aminoacyl-tRNA synthetases). tRNAs cope with the degeneracy of the genetic code in two manners: having more than one tRNA (with a specific anti-codon) for a particular amino acid; and 'wobble' base-pairing, i.e. permitting non-standard base-pairing at the 3rd anti-codon position. The record is from RNAcentral. Lineage: Archaea; Thermoproteati; Thermoproteota; Thermoprotei; Sulfolobales; Sulfolobaceae.
GGGGCCGUAGUCUAGCUUGGACUAGGAUGCCAGCCUGGGGAACGCUGGUGGUCCCGGGUUCAAAUCCCGGCGGCC